CAGCAGCCGCGGUAAUACGGAGGGUGCAAGCGUUAAUCGGAAUUACUGGGCGUAAAGCGCACGCAGGCGGUCUGUCAAGUCAGAUGUGAAAUCCCCGGGCUUAACCUGGGAACUGCAUUUGAAACUGGCAGGCUAGAGUCUUGUAGAGGGGGGUAGAAUUCCAGGUGUAGCGGUGAAAUGCGUAGAGAUCUGGAGGAAUACCGGUGGCGAAGGCGGCCCCCUGGACAAAGACUGACGCUGAGGUACGAAAGCAUGGGGAGCAAACAGGAUUAGAUACCCCUGUAGUCCCUGUCUCUUAUAC
This 301-nucleotide ribosomal RNA is filed under the name uncultured bacterium. RNAcentral describes it as "partial 16S ribosomal RNA". It matches the Rfam family "Bacterial small subunit ribosomal RNA", at positions 509 to 807 of the family's 1533-position model. The record is from RNAcentral.